Molecule: long non-coding RNA, 2883 nt
Organism: Equus caballus (horse)
Lineage: Eukaryota; Metazoa; Chordata; Mammalia; Perissodactyla; Equidae
Source: RefSeq, a predicted model, not a curated record
UCUUGCCUUCGCCGAGUUGUCAGGACUCAGCUGCUCCAGGCUUGGGGCCGUGUCUGCCCCGACAUGGUUGGAAGACCAGACUGAGCCCCGAGAGCUCCAGGCAGAAGGAUUUCAACAGUUAAACUGCACACUUUGAGAGGAUUGAGGCUCCAUGCGCAGAGGGAGAAAACACUCUCACAGACACAUCUCGGCACCACAGACGUUGCAGGACGGCACUUUUCCCCAGGCUCCUCAGCUGUGAAGCGUAAGGGUGUUGCCUUUAAAUGGAUCAACAACGCGAGAGAAUUUGAAAGACGGCCCAGCAGCAACGUGCAAACCCUGUCUUGCUUCUGUGGGCAUUCAAGGCAGCGUCACUCUUGUUUGGGGCUAAUUCAGGACGAGGAUGCUCGCCCCCGCUCAGAAACACGCACACGUCCACGCUCGCUCCAUCCAUCUCGGGUUCGCGACCAGUCAUUAAAUGUACAAUCUCCCCCACUCCCUCGGCUUCAGAGCAAAUGCAAAUAAAAAUCGCUUAAAAUGGUUAACAUUUCCUGUCACUGAAGGCAUUCGUUCGAGGUGGGGGUCGCUGAGUUUUAAAGUGUAUUUUCAUAGGAAGACUCAAUUCAGACCCGUGGCAGGAACUCAGACCGUUUGGCAGAGGGAAUUUCGGGGUUUUCGAUAAGCCUCCAUCCGUGGCAGUCAGUCGAAUGAUCCUUUAUAUUCUGUGGUUGUAGGAGAGAAAUAGCCAAAUUCGAACUUAGAUUAACCUGGGGCCCAGCUCAGCUCACAGGAAAAAAUUAAAAUAUGUUCUCUCCCCCCACCUUCUCCUUCCCGCACUCUCUUUUCCUUUAUUGGAGAAAAACCCCAAAUUUGGUGUUUUAAUUUGUGGUGUUUCCUCUAUUGACUGUUUAGCUAGUGAUUUUGCCAACUUCCUGGAUGUUCAUUUCUGAUUCUGCACAAAAGAGCCACAUUUCCUUUUGAAAUCAGGACCAGGAGACAGACAGCUGCAGACACUGGAAAUUACUGUGAGGCCUUAAGGUUGUGAAUGAAGAGGCUGGGACCAUAUAAUGUGCUGGAUAAAGACUGCGUCACCACCGUCUCUGGGCCAGUUCCAGGAAGCCCGGAAAUAAAUGGGCAGAUGGGCUGCCCGGCAUCGCAUCUCGGCCACCUGCGACCUGAGCGACCCUGGGCUCACGCCGCAAAGGGUAGGGGUCUUGGAGUCACAUGGUUUGGACAAGUCCUGCUGACUUGUGCUGCGACCCUGGACAAGUCACUCUUCAGACACCCAGGGAGGAACCGGGCUCAGUGAGGCCCCUUCUCGCCCACUCCGAGGCCUCCUCUGGCCCUGGCCCAGGCCGUCCUGGCCCGCAGCAGCUGGAAUGCAUGAAUGGCCUCAGGUCUUCACCCUUCCCUGGUCAAGCCCUUUGCCGAGGGCUCUGUUGCUCCUUCUACCAAGAGGCGGGUAGAUUUCCUCGUCCCCGGCGUCUGGGUUUCACCAUCUGACUUGCAGUGGGAUGUGCAGACAUCGUGCGAGCAGAGGCUUGGAGAAACACUCACCUGUUCCCACUAGCCAUCCUGCGCCUCUGCCGUCAGCGUGAGAAAUGCGCGUGCUGGCCCGAGGAAGGACGAGAGGUACGCAGAGGGAGUCGCCCGUUCACCCCAGCGGAACUCAUGGCUGCGUGAGUAAGUCAGCCCAGCCAACGUCAGCAGGGACACCUGGCUGACCGCCCCAGAUGCACCAGCAGUAAAUGCCAUCCUCACACGCCCUGAGGUUUUGUGCUUUUCUCACGCAGCAUGAGUGUGGGAAGAGCUGACUGAUGCAUCAUCGCCAGGGGGAUGAGCAGCUCACUUCCUAUUGCUCCAGAGGCAGGAGAUGUGGGAUAAACUGGCACUGAGAACAAUGUGUGUGGAGCCAGGCAGACCUAGACUGGGAUUCCAGCUCUGCCCCUUCCUGAUGGGUGUCCUGGGGACAGUCGGUGUUUCUCUGGGCCUCGGUUUUGUCCUCUUUAGAAUGUGGAUAAUAAUAGAACUUACCUCAUGGGGGGUGUAGGGAUUGAGAUGAUGUAUGUAAAGUACCUAGAACAUAGUUAGCACUUAGUAAAUGUGAUCAUUAUUAUAAGCAGAAGUAAUGAUAACACUGUUAUAAACAACCACCACCACAAUCCAGCCUUUGACUUCCUCUCUCCACUCCCUGACACGUGCCCACAACUUGUCAUUCCUCAAACUCUCUAUGUACUCUUAUGCCUCAGUGCCUUUGCACAUGCCAUUCCUUCUCCUCCGACUAGUGAAUCUCCUCCUUUCUUCAAGACCCCACUUAAGUGCAGCGAAAAACUGAAGGUUGAUUAUCUGAGCAUUUCACUCUCCCUCCUGUCCUUUUUGGGUUGUUAUAUGCAAGAGCAUAUUUUUCCUUUAACUCUGGGUCAUCUUGGGUUAGCCAUCUCUCCGUUGCGGGGUGUGAGAGUUCUCUCACACCUGGGCCCACGUGAUGAAACUCUCACGGUUGCAUUUCCCCGAAGGUACGAGAUGUAAGGCCACAGCAUUGUGGCAGAAAAAACACUCACGUGGCAACACGAAACUUUGCUCUGCCAGAUCUCCAAACACAAGGCCGCCAGGAAGCCCCGGCACUCACCGACUGUUCGGCUGGCCGGCCGCUCAGCGGGCAGCGGAUCUUCAUGGAGCAGCUGCUCUGCGCCAGGCCCUGGGGCGGCUCUGGGUUUACAGCUCUGAACAACAGUAAGGUCAUUCCGUGGCGCCCACAGUCCCUCGGGAGGACAGACAGGGCCUGGGCCGCUGCAGGCAAUGGGGGAGCUGUUUGAUGGGGCAGUGGGCGUCUGAGUGGAGAUGUGAGGAGUCAGCCUGGAGGGGGGCGGGGCAGGGGUAUCCCAGGCACUGGGGAGGGGGGCU